UACAGAGGGUGCGAGCGUUGUUCGGAAUUACUGGGCGUAAAGGGCGCGUAGGCGGCGACCCAAGUCAGAUGUGAAAGUCCUGGGCUUAACCUGGGGACUGCAUUUGAUACUGGGUUGCUUGAAUUCGGGAGAGGAUAGCGGAAUUCCCAGUGUAGAGGUGAAAUUCGUAGAUAUUGGGAAGAACACCGGUGGCGAAGGCGGCAACCUGGUCCUUUACUGACGCUGAGGAGCGAAAGCGUGGGGAGCGAACAGG
RNAcentral lists this ribosomal RNA (253 nucleotides) under uncultured bacterium. RNAcentral's name for it is "partial 16S ribosomal RNA". It matches the Rfam family "Bacterial small subunit ribosomal RNA", at positions 524 to 776 of the family's 1533-position model. The record is from RNAcentral.